CGACCGGCGCACGGGUGAGUAACACGUAUGAAACCUGCCCGUAGCAGGGGGAUAAGCGGAAGAAAUUCCGUCUAAUACCGCGUAACAACCCAUGGAGGCAUCUCUGUGGGUUUAAAGGAAGCGAUUCCGGCUACGGAUGGUCAUGCGUCGCAUUAGCUUGUUGGCGGGGUAACGGCCCAUCAAGGCGACGAUGCGUAGGGGUUCUGAGAGGAAGGUCCCCCACACUGGUACUGAGACACGGACCAGACUCCUACGGGAGGCAGCAG
This 266-nucleotide ribosomal RNA is filed under the name uncultured bacterium. Its description in RNAcentral is "partial 16S ribosomal RNA". It matches the Rfam family "Bacterial small subunit ribosomal RNA", at positions 92 to 354 of the family's 1533-position model. The record is from RNAcentral.